UACGUAGGGUGCAAGCGUUGUCCGGAUUUAUUGGGUUUAAAGGGUGCGUAGGCGGCUCUUUAAGUCAGUGGUGAAAGCCGACAGCUUAACUGUCGAAAUGCCAUUGAUACUGGGGAGCUUGAGUACAGUAGAGGUAGGCGGAAUUAAUGGUGUAGCGGUGAAAUGCAUAGAUACCAUUAAGAACACCGAUUGCGAAGGCAGCUUACUAUAGUGUAACUGACGCUGAGGCACGAAAGUGUGGGGAUCAAACAGG
This 253-nucleotide ribosomal RNA is filed under the name uncultured bacterium. RNAcentral's name for it is "partial 16S ribosomal RNA". It matches the Rfam family "Bacterial small subunit ribosomal RNA", at positions 524 to 776 of the family's 1533-position model. The record is from RNAcentral.